UACGGAGGGGGCUAGCGUUGUUCGGAAUUACUGGGCGUAAAGCGCACGUAGGCGGCUUUGUAAGUUAGAGGUGAAAGCCUGGUGCUCAACACCAGAACUGCCUUUAAGACUGCAUCGCUUGAAUCAUGGAGAGGCGGGUGGAAUUCCGAGUGUAGAGGUGAAAUUCGUAGAUAUUCGGAGGAACACCAGUGGCGAAGGCGGCUCACUGGCUCGGUACUGACGCUGAGGUGCGAAAGCGUGGGGAGCAAACAGG
Molecule: ribosomal RNA, 253 nt
Filed under: uncultured bacterium
Lineage: Bacteria
Description: partial 16S ribosomal RNA
Rfam family: Bacterial small subunit ribosomal RNA
Source: RNAcentral